CCUACGGGUGGCAGCAGUGAGGAAUAUUGGUCAAUGGGCGCGAGCCUGAACCAGCCAAGUCGCGUGAGGGAAGACGGUCCUAUGGAUUGUAAACCUCUUUUGUCGGGGAGCAAAAGACGCCACGCGUGGCGUUCCGAGAGUACCCGAAGAAAAAGCAUCGGCUAACUCCGUGCCAGCAGCCGCGGUAAUACGGAGGAUGCGAGCGUUAUCCGGAUUUAUUGGGUUUAAAGGGUGCGCAGGCGGAAGAGCAAGUCAGCGGUAAAAUUGAGAGGCUCAACCUCUUCGAGCCGUUGAAACUGGUUUUCUUGAGUGUGUGAGCAGUCUGCGGACUGCGUUGUGUAGCGGUGCAAUGCAUCGUUCUCACGCAGAACUCCGAUUGCGAAGGCAGCCUACCGGCGCUCACCUGACGCUCAUGCACGAACGUGUGGGUAUCGCACAGGCUUAGAUACCCCUGUAGUC
This 459-nucleotide ribosomal RNA is filed under the name uncultured bacterium. Its description in RNAcentral is "partial 16S ribosomal RNA". It matches the Rfam family "Bacterial small subunit ribosomal RNA", at positions 338 to 795 of the family's 1533-position model. The record is from RNAcentral.